GGCAUAGGCGUAGGCUACACAUGCAAGUCGAACGGCAGCACAGGAGAGCUUGCUCUCUGGGUGGCGAGUGGCGGACGGGUGAGGAAUACAUCGGAAUCUACUCUGUCGUGGGGGAUAACGUAGGGAAACUUACGCUAAUACCGCAUACGACCUACGGGUGAAAGCAGGGGACCUUCGGGCCUUGCGCGAUUGAAUGAGCCGAUGUCGGAUUAGCUAGUUGGCGGGGUAAAGGCCCACCAAGGCGACGAUCCGUAGCUGGUCUGAGAGGAUGAUCAGCCACACUGGAACUGAGACACGGUCCAGACUCCUACGGGAGGCAGCAGUGGGGAAUAUUGGACAAUGGGCGCAAGCCUGAUCCAGCCAUACCGCGUGGGUGAAGAAGGCCUUCGGGUUGUAAAGCCCUUUUGUUGGGAAAGAAAUCCAGCUGGCUAAUACCCGGUUGGGAUGACGGUACCCAAAGAAUAAGCACCGGCUAACUUCGUGCCAGCAGCCGCGGUAAUACGAAGGGUGCAAGCGUUACUCGGAAUUACUGGGCGUAAAGCGUGCGUAGGUGGUUAUUUAAGUCCGUUGUGAAAGCCCUGGGCUCAACCUGGGAACUGCAGUGGAUACUGGAUGACUAGAAUGUGGUAGAGGGUAGCGGAAUUCCUGGUGUAGCAGUGAAAUGCGUAGAGAUCAGGGAGGAACAUCCAUGGCGAAGGCAGCUACGUGGACCAACAUUGACACUGAGGCACGAAGGCGUGGGGGGCAAACAGGAUUAGAUACCCUGGUAGUCCUCCCCCUGAACGAUGCGAAUUGGAUGUUGAGUGCAAGUUUUCACGACUAUCUAAGCUAAUGCGUUAAGUUCGCCGCCUGUGGAGUACCGUCGUGAGACUGAAGCUCAAAGGAAUUGACUGGGGCCCGCCCUACGCAGGAAUUAGGGGCAUUAUUUCAUACA
This 934-nucleotide ribosomal RNA is filed under the name Stenotrophomonas maltophilia. RNAcentral describes it as "bacterial SSU rRNA". It matches the Rfam family "Bacterial small subunit ribosomal RNA", at positions 32 to 958 of the family's 1533-position model. The record is from RNAcentral. Lineage: Bacteria; Pseudomonadati; Pseudomonadota; Gammaproteobacteria; Lysobacterales; Lysobacteraceae.